GAUGGUAUAGCUCAAUUGGUAGAACACAUGCUUAGCACGCAUAAGAUCCUGGGUUCAAUCCCUAGUACCUCCU
This 73-nucleotide transfer RNA is filed under the name Camelus bactrianus (Bactrian camel). It matches the Rfam family "tRNA". From Rfam's summary of the family: Transfer RNA (tRNA) molecules are approximately 80 nucleotides in length. RNAcentral also lists the same sequence under 2 other names. Lineage: Eukaryota; Metazoa; Chordata; Mammalia; Artiodactyla; Camelidae. The record is from Rfam by way of RNAcentral.